AGCGAACGUUAGCGGCGGGCCUAACACAUGCAAGUCGAACGCGAAAGGUCUUCGGACUGAGUAGAGUGGCGCACGGGUGAGUAACACGUAGGUAAUUUACCCUUUGGCGGGGGAUAACGUUCCGAAAGGAGCGCUAAUACCGCAUAAGACCACGGAGUCUCCGGACGCUGUGGGAAAAGGUGGCCUCUUCUUGAAAGCUAUCACCGAAGGAUGAGCCUGCGUCCCAUCAGCUAGUUGGUAAGGUAAUGGCUUACCAAGGCGAAGACGGGUAGCUGGUUUGAGAGAAUGAUCAGCCACACUGGCACUGGAACACGGGCCAGACUCCUACGGGAGGCAGCAGUGAGGAAUAUUGGGCAAUGGGCGAAAGCCUGACCCAGCCACGCCGCGUGAGUGAUGAAGGCCCUCGGGUCGUAAAGCUCUGUGGAGAGGGACGAAAACCCUGGUUUCAAAUAGGCUCCAGGCUUGACGGUACCUCUUUAGCAAGCACCGGCUAACUCUGUGCCAGCA
RNAcentral lists this ribosomal RNA (507 nucleotides) under uncultured bacterium. RNAcentral's name for it is "bacterial SSU rRNA". It matches the Rfam family "Bacterial small subunit ribosomal RNA", at positions 29 to 513 of the family's 1533-position model. The record is from RNAcentral.